CCGGUAAACGGCGGCCGUAACUAUAACGGUCCUAAGGUAGCGAAAUUCCUUGUCGGGUAAGUUCCGACCUGCACGAAUGGCGUAAUGAUGGCCAGGCUGUCUCCACCCGAGACUCAGUGAAAUUGAACUCGCUGUGAAGAUGCAGUGUACCCGCGGCAAGACGGAAAGACCCCGUGAACCUUUACUAUAGCUUGACACUGAACAUUGAGCCUUGAUGUGUAGGAUAGGUGGGAGGCUUUGAAGUGUGGACGCCAGUCUGCAUGGAGCCGGCCUUGAAAUACCACCCUUUAAUGUUUGAUGUUCUAACGUUGGCCCCUGAUCGGGGUUGCGGACAGUGUCUGGUGGGUAGUUUGACUGGGGCGGUCUCCUCCUAAAGAGUAACGGAGGAGCACGAAGGUUGGCUAAUCCUGGUCGGACAUCAGGAGGUUAGUGCAAUGGCAUAAGCCAGCUUGACUGCGAGCGUGACGGCGCGAGCAGGUGCGAAAGCAGGUCAUAGUGAUCCGGUGGUUCUGAAUGGAAGGGCCAUCGCUCAACGGAUAAAAGGUACUCCGGGGAUAACAGGCUGAUACCGCCCAAGAGUUCAUAUCGACGGCGGUGUUUGGCACCUCGAUGUCGGCUCAUCACAUCCUGGGGCUGAAGUAGGUCCCAAGGGUAUGGCUGUUCGCCAUUUAAAGUGGUACGCGAGCUGGGUUUAGAACGUCGUGAGACAGUUCGGUCCCUAUCUGCCGUGGGCGCUGGAGAACUGAGGGGGGCUGCUCCUAGUACGAGAGGACCGGAGUGGACGCAUCACUGGUGUUCGGGUUGUCAUGCCAAUGGCACUGCCCGGUAGCUAAAUGCGGAAGAGAUAAGUGCUGAAAGCAUCUAAGCACGAAACUUGCCCCGAGAUGAGUUCUCCCUGACUCCUUGAGAGUCCUGAAGGAACGUUGAAGACGACGACGUUGAUAGGCCGGGUGUGUAAGCGCAGCGAUGCGUUGAGCUAACCGGUACUAAUGAACCGUGAGGCUUAACCUUACAA
This 1015-nucleotide ribosomal RNA is filed under the name Escherichia coli. Its description in RNAcentral is "partial 23S ribosomal RNA". It matches the Rfam family "Bacterial large subunit ribosomal RNA", at positions 1920 to 2925 of the family's 2925-position model. The record is from RNAcentral. Lineage: Bacteria; Pseudomonadati; Pseudomonadota; Gammaproteobacteria; Enterobacterales; Enterobacteriaceae.